GUAUGAUUCCUUCUGGUACUCUAAUUUUUUUUCUUUGAUAUUUCCUUAUUUCCUUUUCAUGUCUAUAACAUUAAUGUUUGUUUGAAUGACGUACGCGCAUCUAUCUGGGUUUUAGCCCCUGUUUCAGCUUGAUAGCAUUUGGGGACAAUGAUAUAUUAUUGGUAGCAUUUGGGGACAUGAUAACAUUUGAGCACGGUAUUAGUAGGGAGGGAAUUAAUUCAGCUACGUAGUACGGUAUUAGUAGGGAGAAAAGUUUACCCCCUAUCACUCCUAUUCAUACUGUGUCUAUUUUCUGAAGUAGGCUAUACCUAGAGAGUCUUCUACAAGCAAUUUCGCCGACAUAUUUCUUGAUUGUAUCUUCCUAUGCUCAACCGUGUAUAGUAUUUUGUUUGACCAAAGUUUGAUUCAUUUGAGAUUUCAGGGGAGUUAAAGAAAGUGCUUUCAGGGCGGACGGAACUACACCACGAGGAUCAAAAGCUGUUGUUCCGUAAAAAGGAGGGGGAUUAAUUCAGCUUUCCCCUUUAUUUGAUAUAUUCUCUUGGUCAUGAUCCGUAAGGAAUUGGUGGAGCAUUAAUUAGGGAAAAAGCAGGUUCCAAUGUCCAAAUUUCUCAUUGUUCGAUCGUACGCGUGAUUUAGUGGUAGCGUCAAUGCUGUAGAGCGGUAGAGGUCUGGCCUUGAAUACUUUUCUAGGGAUGAAGAUUUCACGGGUGGAAGGUUGGAGUUAUUUUAUUGUUGAAAGCAGCUUUGUUGGAGCUUUGAAGAUAGACAAAGCUUCAUAGUGAAUGUGGGUGUUUGUUAAAAGAAAAAUGUAACUGUUAUCAUGCGGUUGGGAAUCUAUGACUUAUGAAUUCAACUAUUUUGUGGAGUACAAUUGGUUAGUUCUCCAUGUUGAUGUUAUAGGUAAGUUUGUUUGUUCUUCAUGUUGUGUUACUCUAAUGAGUGGAUGAUUUAUAUGGUUACCAAUUUUUAUUCUUCUUUUUCUGUUCUGAACAGAAGUACUAAA
Molecule: long non-coding RNA, 1003 nt
Organism: Rhododendron vialii
Lineage: Eukaryota; Viridiplantae; Streptophyta; Magnoliopsida; Ericales; Ericaceae
Exons: 4
Source: RefSeq, a predicted model, not a curated record